RNAcentral lists this ribosomal RNA (156 nucleotides) under Triticum aestivum (bread wheat). RNAcentral's name for it is "partial small subunit ribosomal RNA". The record is from RNAcentral. Lineage: Eukaryota; Viridiplantae; Streptophyta; Magnoliopsida; Poales; Poaceae.
AUGGCCCACAUAUCAAAUAUUAAACUAAUAAAAACAGAUACUGCACUUGAUCUUAGCCAAAAGGCCGAGAAAGGUAUGAGUUGCAAUGCUGAAGCGGGUCUCCUUUUAUAGCCAUCUGUCCUCUGUGCUCCUCCUCCGUGCGCGAUGUGGUACUAA